RNAcentral lists this ribosomal RNA (429 nucleotides) under uncultured bacterium. RNAcentral describes it as "bacterial SSU rRNA". It matches the Rfam family "Bacterial small subunit ribosomal RNA", at positions 355 to 775 of the family's 1533-position model. The record is from RNAcentral.
UGAGGAAUAUUGCGCAAUGGGGGCAACCCUGACGCAGCAACGCCGCGUGAGUGAGGAAGGUUUUCGGAUUGUAAAGCUCUGUCGAGCGGAAAGAAAUGCAUUAUGGCUAAUAUCCAUAGUGCUUGACGGUACCGCUAAAGGAAGCACCGGCUAACUCCGUGCCAGCAGCCGCGGUAAUACGGGGGGUGCAAGCGUUGUUCGGAAUCAUUGGGCGUAAAGCGCGUGUAGGCGGCUUGACAAGUCAGAUGUGAAAUCCCUGGGCUUAACUCAGGAAGUGCAUUUGAAACUGUCAGGCUAGAGUAAGGGAGAGGAAAGUGGAAUUCCUGGUGUAGAGGUGAAAUUCGUAGAUAUCAGGAGGAACACCGGUGGCGAAGGCGACUUUCUGGCCCUAUACUGACGCUGAGACGCGAAAGCGUGGGUAGCAAACAG